CAUAAAAACAACACACAGCUUGUUAAGAAAACAAAUUCACAGUCCAGAUCUAAGAGUUGAUCUGAGAGCAGUUCAGUCUUUUGGAAUAACUGGCAUGAUUUCUGGAUGAUGUCAUCAAA
Molecule: long non-coding RNA, 119 nt
Organism: Myripristis murdjan (pinecone soldierfish)
Lineage: Eukaryota; Metazoa; Chordata; Actinopteri; Holocentriformes; Holocentridae
Exons: 3
Source: RefSeq, a predicted model, not a curated record